RNAcentral lists this long non-coding RNA (2783 nucleotides) under Homo sapiens (human). Its description in RNAcentral is "HSALNT0197579". Lineage: Eukaryota; Metazoa; Chordata; Mammalia; Primates; Hominidae. The record is from RNAcentral.
CAUCAACAUAACCCAGUUAGGGUCGCACUCAUCACGGGGCCCCCAUUGCCUCUGGCGCACCCCACGACUGACAUCUGCGGGGCCUUCGCGCUAGGCUUCGAGUUUCAGCUUCCGCACCAGGCCUGCCUUUCUGCAGGGGCCAGGGUGGGGGUCGUGUGCUGAUUGGGCCCUCUGAACCGCCACCGCUGCAGAGGGGCUGUUCCUUCUGUCACAUCCCUUGUGCCCGAAUCCACCCUGUGUCUUCUCUUUUCUCAGCAGGACAUUUUAAAAGCCCAGACCCCCUCCUUACAGAGCAAAUGUCCAGGCUUCGGAGGUCACUGUCACAUCCCAAGAACCCCCUUCACCAGGUGCCACUCUUGAGACUGGACUGAAGCCCCCUGGAGAGCUCACUGCUGGGAGCCUGGUUUUCUCACUGUCCAGCUGUGUGGCUCGGGGGCCCCCGUCUCUAUGUCUCAGUGAUGACAACACUGGCCGUGUGGGUCCUGGUGGGCCUUGAGUGGGUUCCUCUGCUCAGACAUGAGGUGCUUAGACCUCACCCUAGCUCUGCCCUGUGACCUUGGCAGGUCACCCGGGGUCACUUUCCCAUCGGAGUGGGGGUGGGGACUGGAACCAGCCACUCCCAGGUCCCUCCUCUGAGGUUGCUCUUGGCACUGGUCCUGGGGACAGGGCUGCAGGGGACUCUGGCCUCUCUCUCCCCUCUCAGUUCCACUUGCCUUUGUCCUGCUGCCUGAGGUGAGGACAUGGACGGCCGGGUACAAGACGGGGCAGGCAACCUCGCAGUGGUGGUAACCCUGUGCAUGAACCCUGGGCCUGGCACGUGGACCUCCUGUGACCGUCCCCACAGGCCCGUGAGGCUGAGCUUGGCACUGCCCAAGACCACACAGUCCAUGCGCGGUGGAGCUGGGGUCCAGGCUGCCCACCAGGGCAGUGACUACAAUGGUGGCAGCAGGGGACGGUCACCGUCAUGAGCUCAAGCCAGGCGCUGCACUGACCUUGAGGGAGGGCUCCAUGCUUCCCCUUCCCACAGCUGCAGUGAGGCCUAGCAGAGCAGGGUCGGCUGCGGGCUUGAGUCCUGGGGUGCCCCUGGGCUGACGGGCCCUGCCUGACCUGCUCCUCCAGUGCCCCAGCCCUGCCCCACCCACGUCCCCUCCUCUCACUGCCCCCUGGCCCACUCCGCUGCGGUCUCAGUGCCUUCCCAGGCUGGGCAUCAUCUGAUGGGAGGAAAAUGAGGGCCCCAGACUCUGUGUCAUCCUGGCAGGACCCCUCCCCUCCCAUGGCUUUGAGCCCAUGAGAUGGCCUUGGACAAAGCGGCAAUGGGCCCUUCCUGAGACACAGUGCGGCCAUCUACUGGAAAACUGCCCAGUGUGACUCUGAUGACUGUGAUGUGAAUCCUACAGCAAAGUUGAGCAGUGCGCAACCUGGGCUACUGCACCUGGCAGCCCCGGCUCCUCCUCGUCUGCCUCUUCCUGCUCCUUCAUUCUCCCCCAGAGCUCUAAUUGUCACUGAGAUUUUAUGUUUCAUUUAACAAAUGACUGUCUCCCCGCUUGAACAGAACCUCCAUGGGGGGAGGGAAGAGUGUCUGUUGUAUAAAUAGUUGUAUUUCAGUGCAUAAAACAGUGCCUGCCUCAAAGGGAGGACUCAGUCAAUAUCUGUUGAAUGAAUGAAUGAAUAAUUGCCUGGGUCAACGAAUGAAUGGCUGAAUGAAUGAUUUCUCCUUUCCCUCGGCACUGUCUGGAGUCCCCAGGACAGGCAUGGGCAGCAGUCGCUGGUCUGUGGCCUGUCCCACUGGACUUGGGGUUCUCAUGCUUGGUCUGGGCGGAGAUCACCCACCAGGCUCCCAGGUCGAUCCUCUGCUCAUGGGAAGCUGCGUCCGGCCCAGCUGCCAGGAGCUCACUGCAGGGUGGAGGGAAGAGCAGGGACGAUCUGCGAGCGCCUGAACAGCGCACAAGAGCCGAGGAGCCGCUGCUUAAAAUGCAGGCGUUGAGAGGAGUUUCGCCUCCUUUUUUGAGUUGAAUAUGAGAUUUCCGAGCAGCCAUGACGAGUUGGGUUGGUGGAAGUGGGGAGUCCGUUCCUCAGUCAGAUGGAGGAGGGGGUCCCCUUGGAUCUCCUCUCGGGGCUCGAACCCUGAUACUUCAAGGUCUCUUCCCACCUGCCCUUGGUGGAUCUGGAAAGCUCCUGGGAACAGGGUGGGUCUUCCUUGUUUUAAAGGUUGUAAGUUGAGAGCACCUCACAUAACUGCCUGGGGCGGCUCUGACGGGCCUCAGUCUGCUUGUGAUGUCACACAGGAAGCCCCUGGGGACUGGGCCGCUCAAGUCCUCCUGGGUCAGACCAGAUCACUGGGCCUGUGGGUUCCGCAGUGAGUCCAGCAUCGUUUCCUGUGCAGUGACCCAGGCCGGGUCCCCAUGGGCUCUGACUAGGGGACAGUGGGACUCGGGGUUGGGGGGCCUGCUUGAGUCAUGGCUUCACUGUCCACUGUGACUGGGGACCCCCAGGGGGAUUUCUGGGGACGCAUUCACCUACUGCACUGGGGUUUCUCUUUCAGAACCACAACACCCUGGAAGGCAAGAAAUGGGGAGCUGCAUCUGCAUCCACAGGGUCCCACCAGCCUGGAACAUCCCCGCUGGUCUAGAAUCCCACCCCACACACCCCGCUGAUCCUGGGCCCGUCCCUGUGACCAGGAGACGGAGUCCAGGGACUCCCCAGGCCUGGGCCACGCGACUGCCCUAAGAGCCUGGCAUCAGGGAGCAGUGCUGUGUGCACCCCCAGGUCCACUGAGAGUAGGG